This is a long non-coding RNA of Zophobas morio, 255 nucleotides long. RefSeq lists it as uncharacterized. NCBI's taxonomy places the organism in Eukaryota, Metazoa, Arthropoda, Insecta, Coleoptera, Tenebrionidae. The record is from RefSeq and is a predicted model, not a curated record. The transcript has 3 exons.
AAUAAAGACGGCUACUAACUGUUUUUGUGAAUUAUUAAACGAAAAUAUUUUGUGGAAGGAAAAUAUUUAAGCUGUUGUGACUGACUGAGGGUGGCAUGUUUUGCUACAGGCAAGUGCUUCCAAUUUUUAAAAAAUGAGUAUGACUUGGCAAGUGCAAAAACCGGGCCCACCUUUCCUUAGACCCUGCGUGGUGCAUACCCGAGCAAGAGACACGAAGGACCCCGUGACUACGAGCGGCCCGAACCCUUUCUGUUC